UGCCUACGGGACGCAGCAGUGAGGAAUAUUGGUCAAUGGGCGGUAGCCUGAACCAGCCAUGUAGCGUGAAGGAUGAAGGUUCUAUGGAUUGUAAACUUCUUUUAUAAAGGAGUAAAGUGAGGCACGUGUGCCUUUUUGUAUGUACUUUAUGAAUAAGGAUCGGCUAACUCCGUGCCAGCAGCCGCGGUAAUACGUAGGAUCCGAGCGUUAUCCGGAUUUAUUGGGUUUAAAGGGAGCGUAGAUGGGUUGUUAAGUCAGCUGUGAAAGUUGGCGGCUCAACCGUGAAAUUGCAAUUGAUACUGGCG
This 305-nucleotide ribosomal RNA is filed under the name uncultured bacterium. RNAcentral's name for it is "bacterial SSU rRNA". It matches the Rfam family "Bacterial small subunit ribosomal RNA", at positions 335 to 638 of the family's 1533-position model. The record is from RNAcentral.